AAUCCAGGAAGAAUGGUGUCAGUUGAUGAUCAGCCUAAGAGUUAUAUGAUAUUUUUAUGAUAAGGUGGAGGAAAGUUAGUUGUAUUUGGAAUGUUGAGACGACCAAGAAGAUAGAUGAAGUCUGCAUGCUACCAUAGAAGAUUUUAAUAUUUAUGUUAACUAAUUAGUUGUAACUUAGAGAUAUCAAUGUUACAAUAUUAGUGGCUAUACAUUUCUGACUUUUAUGCUAUAUAUACAUACAUUUUUUAUGAUA
Medicago truncatula (barrel medic) is the source of this 253-nucleotide long non-coding RNA. RefSeq lists it as uncharacterized. The transcript is spliced from 2 exons. NCBI's taxonomy places the organism in Eukaryota, Viridiplantae, Streptophyta, Magnoliopsida, Fabales, Fabaceae. The record is from RefSeq and is a predicted model, not a curated record.